UCAUUAGUAUGGACAUUCUUUGAGAUGUUGUCUAUUGGUGAAGAUAAAAAAAAAUAUAUAAGUGUAAGAAAUAUGGAUUGGUUUAUCUUGCUGAAAGUAAAUAUGAAACUGGUAAUUUGAAGCGACUUAUGAACACAUGCAUGAGAAGGGACAUAUGCGAUAUAGGUCAGUUACUCAUAGCACAAGAUAGUGGAUCAAUGUCUUUAUCUGCUUCUAAAUUAAAUCACGAAAAGUUUAGGAAGUUGUUGAUUGCAGCAAUUAUCAUAUAUUAUCUUUCUUUUCACUUUGUUGAAUAGGUAGGUGUAACAUCAGCUUUUCAAUAUCUUCAAAAAGAUUUGAAUUUAGUGAGUAAGAAUACUUGUAAGGCUAGCUGUUUCAAAUUAUAUAAGAGGGAGAGGGAAAGUGUUAGGGUCCCGAACCUGAGAUCGAGUUAGGGGUCUUUCGUGGAGGGAAGUGGAAGGUGUUCGUGAGGGUGAGGACAUGGUGUUCUUUUUGCGACCUAUCUUGAGAAAUUAGAAGACUCAAUUAGAGGGAAUCUCAAACCUCUGAGUUAAAGUACUCAAAACUGUAAUGAUUUCCAAGUUGAUCUCUUCAUUGAUAAUUAUUGAAUAUUUAUACAGGAUGUAAACCACCCUUU
This 637-nucleotide long non-coding RNA is filed under the name Manihot esculenta (cassava). Its description in RNAcentral is "long non-coding RNA (MESC_LNC010819)". The record is from RNAcentral. Lineage: Eukaryota; Viridiplantae; Streptophyta; Magnoliopsida; Malpighiales; Euphorbiaceae.